GACGAACGCUGGCGGCGUGCUUAACACAUGCAAGUCGAACGGAAAGGCCCUGCUUGUGGGGGGUGCUCGAGUAGCGAACGGGUGAGUAACACGUGAGUAACCUGCCCGUGACUUUGGGAUAACUUCAGGAAACUGGGGCUAAUACCGGAUAGGAGCUCCUGCUGCAUGGUGGGGGGUGGGAAGUUUCGGCGGUUGGGGAUGGACUGGCGGCUUAUCAGGUUGGUGGGGGGGUAGUGGCCUACCAAGGCGGUGACGGGUAGCCGGCCUGAGAGGGUGAUCGGCCACACGGAGACUGAGACACGGCCCAGAGGGCUACGGGAGGCAGCAGUAGGGAAGCUUCGGCAAUGGACGCAAGUCUGACCGAGCAGCGCGGCGUGAGUGAAGAAGGGUGUCGGAUCGUAAAACUCGGUUGUUAGAGAAGAACAAGGAUGAGAGUGGAAAGUUCAUCCCGGGACGGUAUCUAACCAGAAAGCCACGGCUAACUACGUG
This 489-nucleotide ribosomal RNA is filed under the name uncultured bacterium. Its description in RNAcentral is "partial 16S ribosomal RNA". It matches the Rfam family "Bacterial small subunit ribosomal RNA", at positions 28 to 507 of the family's 1533-position model. The record is from RNAcentral.